RNAcentral lists this ribosomal RNA (301 nucleotides) under uncultured bacterium. RNAcentral's name for it is "partial 16S ribosomal RNA". It matches the Rfam family "Bacterial small subunit ribosomal RNA", at positions 509 to 808 of the family's 1533-position model. The record is from RNAcentral.
CAGUAGCCACGGGAAUACGGAGGGUGCAAGCGUUAAUCGGAAUUACUGGGCGUAAAGCGCACGCAGGCGGUCUGACAAGUCAGAUGUGAAAUCCCCGGGCUUAACCUGGGAACUGCAUUUGAAACUGUCAGGCUGGAGUCUUGUAGAGGGGGGUGGAAUUCCAGGUGUAGCGGUGAAAUGCGUAGAGAUCUGGAGGAAUACCGGUGGCGAAGGCGGCCCCCUGGACAAAGACUGACGCUCAGGUGCGAAAGCGUGGGGAGCAAACAGGAUUAGAUACCCCCGUAGUCCCGUCUCUUAUACA